GCAAGUCGAGGGGUAACAUUUUUUGCUUGCACACAGAUGACGACCGGCGCACGGGUGCGCACCGCGUAUGGAACCUACCUUUUACAGGGGAAUAGCCUUUGGAAACGAAGAUUAAUGCCCCAUGCUACCUUCAGUAGCCUUACUGGAAGGUUAAAGCCUUCGGGCGGUAAAAGAUGGCCAUGCGUCCCAUUAGCUUGAUGGUAAGGUAACGGCUUACCAUGGCUACGAUGGGUAGGGGUCCUGAGAGGGGGAUC
Molecule: ribosomal RNA, 254 nt
Filed under: uncultured bacterium
Lineage: Bacteria
Description: partial 16S ribosomal RNA
Rfam family: Bacterial small subunit ribosomal RNA
Source: RNAcentral